GUGGGUGGAGUUGCGUCCGCGUCGGUGAUGGGCGGACCGGCGUCGGAGGUCGGAGGAGCGGGGUCGGCGGCGGCAGGAGCGAUCUGAUAACGAUUGUGCUUCAGUCCCGAAGAAGAUGCAGCCUUUCUAAGUACAUCUCUGCCUAUAUGAUAUCCACGGCAGCAGCAGAUCUCCUCAUUUCAGGAAAUAAUUAACAAGAUGCACUGGAACUGCCUGCCAAUUUAUCUUCCUUCUCUUCAGUCCCCGGAAUAAUGUACAUCUGAUUUUACAGCAUCGCUACAGUUUGGAUUCCUUUUAUUUUAAUUGCCAUGUUUAAUUCAUUGACAAUUAGACAUAUUCUAGUGACCAGUAAAAACCACAGAUAGCUUCAGAGACAGCUGAAUGAUCCUCAGCGCGAUCCAGAAAUGGAGUACGGAAAGAAAUCCAUCAUUGUACUCUUUGCUAUUUUGGCCUGCUUUGUACAACUUUGGCUGACAGCUGUUGUGAGUUCUGUAACUGCUAGCCUUGCAACUGCAACUUAUCACUUCGGUAGAAAACCAGCAUAGAUUGCAGUUAAAACUGGAGCAAUGCUCAGAUGAAGUUACUGUUCAAUCAAAUGCAUUUACGCACUGACCUCGAGGAAAAUCAGAGAAACAUUGAUGAAUCUCCUGAAACCUCCCUCUAAAUUCAUUACAGCAUUCGUUAAACAGAGUAAGAAGAGGAGGUUGACUGUGUGUUGAAAGAAUAGAAUUCGGGUUUGAAUUAAAUUGGAUACUCUUCCUGUGGCAUUAUUGUUAGGAACAAUGAAUAAAGUAUUACGUGAUUAUCA
Long non-coding RNA from Rhincodon typus (whale shark), 808 nucleotides. RefSeq lists it as uncharacterized. The record is from RefSeq and is a predicted model, not a curated record. Lineage: Eukaryota; Metazoa; Chordata; Chondrichthyes; Orectolobiformes; Rhincodontidae. The transcript is spliced from 3 exons.